RNAcentral lists this ribosomal RNA (439 nucleotides) under uncultured bacterium. RNAcentral describes it as "partial 16S ribosomal RNA". It matches the Rfam family "Bacterial small subunit ribosomal RNA", at positions 339 to 795 of the family's 1533-position model. The record is from RNAcentral.
CUACGGGUGGCUGCAGUGAGGAAUAUUGCACAAUGGGGGGAACCCUGAUGCAGCAACGCCGCGUGGAGGAUGACGCAUUUCGGUGUGUAAACUCCUUUUAUAUGUCAAGAAAAUGACGGUAGCAUAUGAAUAAGCACCGGCUAACUCCGUGCCAGCAGCCGCGGUAAUACGGAGGGUGCAAGCGUUACUCGGAAUCACUGGCCAUAAAGGACGCGUAGGCGGGUUGGAAAGUCAGGUGUGAAAUCCUACAGCUUAACUGUAGAACUGCACUUGAAACUUCUAAUCUAGAGUAUGGGAGGGGGAGAUGGAAUUAGUGGUGUAGGGGUAAAAUCCGUAGAUAUCACUAGGAAUACCUAAAGCGAAGGCGAUCUCCUGGAACAUUACUGACGCUAAGGCGUGAAAGCGUGGGGAGCAAACAGGAUUAGAUACCCCAGUAGUC